This 253-nucleotide ribosomal RNA is filed under the name uncultured bacterium. RNAcentral's name for it is "partial 16S ribosomal RNA". It matches the Rfam family "Bacterial small subunit ribosomal RNA", at positions 524 to 776 of the family's 1533-position model. The record is from RNAcentral.
UACGUAGGGGGCAAGCGUUGUCCGGAAUCAUUGGGCGUAAAGCGCGCGUAGGCGGCCCGGUAAGUCCGUUGUGAAAGUCAAAGGCUCAACCUUUGAACGCCGAUGGAUACUGCCGGGCUAGAGUCCGGAAGAGGCGAGUGGAAUUCCUGGUGUAGCGGUGGAAUGCGCAGAUAUCGGGAAGAACACCCGUGGCGAAGGCGGUUCUCUGGGACGGUACUGACGCUGAGACGCGAAAGCGUGGGGAGCGAACAGG